AAAACAUUAUUGAACGCUGGCGGCAUGCCUUACACAUGCAAGUCGAACGGCAGCACGGGUGCUUGCACCUGGUGGCGAGUGGCGAACGGGUGAGUAAUACAUCGGAACGUACCUUGUAGUGGGGGAUAGCUCGGCGAAAGCCGGAUUAAUACCGCAUACGCUCUGAGGAGGAAAGCGGGGGACCUUCGGGCCUCGCGCUACAAGAGCGGCCGAUGUCAGAUUAGCUAGUUGGUGAGGUAAAAGCUCACCAAGGCGACGAUCUGUAGCUGGUCUGAGAGGACGACCAGCCACACUGGGACUGAGACACGGCCCAG
This 314-nucleotide ribosomal RNA is filed under the name uncultured bacterium. Its description in RNAcentral is "bacterial SSU rRNA". It matches the Rfam family "Bacterial small subunit ribosomal RNA", at positions 30 to 334 of the family's 1533-position model. The record is from RNAcentral.